This is a non-coding RNA of Oryza barthii, 206 nucleotides long. The record is from Rfam. Lineage: Eukaryota; Viridiplantae; Streptophyta; Magnoliopsida; Poales; Poaceae.
AAAAAGACAAAACCCUGGUUUCCGUGCCCAACAUUUGACCGUCCGUUUUAUUUAAAAAAAUUAUGAAAAAAAUUAAAAAGACAAGUCACGCAUAAAAUAUUAAUCAUGUUUUAUCAUCUAACAAUAAUGAAAAUACGAAUUAUAAAAAAAAUCCAUAUAAGACGGACUGUUAAAGUUGGACACGGAAACUCAGGGUUUGACUUUUU